RNAcentral lists this ribosomal RNA (497 nucleotides) under uncultured bacterium. Its description in RNAcentral is "partial 16S ribosomal RNA". It matches the Rfam family "Bacterial small subunit ribosomal RNA", at positions 28 to 507 of the family's 1533-position model. The record is from RNAcentral.
GAUGAACGCUGGCGGCGUGCCUAAUACAUGCAAGUCGAGCGAACAGAUAAGGAGCUUGCUCCUUUGACGUUAGCGGCGGACGGGUGAGUAACACGUGGGUAACCUACCUAUAAGACUGGGAUAAAUUCGGGAAACCGGAGCUAAUACCGGAUAAAAUUUGGAACCGCAAGGUUCUAAAGUGAAAGAUGGUUUUGCUAUCACUUAUAGAUGGACCCGCGCCGUAUUAGCUAGUUGGUAAGGUAACGGAUUACCAAGGCAACAAUACGUAGCCGACCUGCGAGGGUGACCGGCAACCCUGGAACUGAGCCACGGUCCAGACUCCUCCGGGAGGCAGCGUUAGGGAAUCUUCCGAAAUGGGCGAAAGCCUAACGGAGCAACGCCGCGUGAGUGAUGAAGGGUUUCGGCUCUUAAACCUCUGUUAUUAGGAAAGAAGAAAUGUGUAAGUAACUGUUCACGUCUUGACGGUACCUAAUCAGAAAGCCACGGCUAACUACGUG